This 744-nucleotide ribosomal RNA is filed under the name Triticum aestivum (bread wheat). RNAcentral's name for it is "partial small subunit ribosomal RNA". Lineage: Eukaryota; Viridiplantae; Streptophyta; Magnoliopsida; Poales; Poaceae. The record is from RNAcentral.
AUGGAUCACAUGAUGCAUCUUGACCAGCACCAGCAAUGUGGCGACCAACGAGACGCCACAAUGGCUACUGCUGGCACGCGCAGCAGCGCUAGUGCCAGUGUCUCGCAGGUCGCCUUCGUGCUCAUUGCAGUUGCUUUCAUCUCCCUCUUCUCGUCCUCCUUCUUGGGCGGCGCCGCCGCUGCCGGGGCUUCUUCUUCCUCUCUCCCUUCCGGCGCCGCCCUAUCUGCUCGCCUUGCGGCCUUGUGCGGCUUUGUCACCACCAAGAAGGCGCUCUUCGUCCUUUCCAACGCCAUCUUCCUCUUCCUCGCCGCCGACUGCCGCUGCUUCUUCCCUGGUGUCUCCAGCAUGGCCACCCCAUCCAUGAAUGACGACGAUGUCGUCACGGCUUCCAGACUGCCGCCAUGUGCCGUUGAAGCUCGACCAUGUUCUUCUUAUUCAGGGAACCUUUACUACUGCUAUAGCAACACCGAAGGUGUAUCAGCGAAUUGUUCGGGACAGCAAGGGAAACGAGCAGAGGUGCCGGAGUCGGCUGGGCUCCACGGAGGAGAAGCGAAUGUCACCUUGGAGACGGUUGUCAUCGUGGAGGAGCCAACCCGCGGUGGAGAAGCUCAUGAGGAGGAGCUAGAGAAGCUAGAGAUGGACGAGCUCAACAGGAAGUUUGAGGACUUCAUCCAAAGCAGAAGGGUUAAAUGGCUCAGGGAGGAGGAGCAAGUAUUGCAAUGCCAACAGCAACAGGUGGUCUGA